Molecule: long non-coding RNA, 2128 nt
Organism: Mus musculus (house mouse)
Lineage: Eukaryota; Metazoa; Chordata; Mammalia; Rodentia; Muridae
Product: predicted gene, 41557
Exons: 2
Source: RefSeq, a predicted model, not a curated record
UCAAAAAAAAAAAAAAGAACUUAGGCCGGAGGUCUGUGCCUGGCAACCACAGAUCUAGAGUGUAUGUCAAAGGUGAAGGCUCAAGGUUAGUGGAGGUACAAGAUGAAGCCAAGAGGCUGCAGGUAAGAAGCCACAAUGUCAGGCUCCAGCUACCACCAGCCUGUCCAAAAGGGGACACCAAAGGAGAGGAGGAAGUCUGAGAGACACCUCUCUGCACCAUGGCCAUCUUAGUAGUCAGACCCAGAACAAAACUCUCUGAUGAGUGUGCGGAGCGUCGCUUCUGGUCUUUGCUCAAACUAUUCACUGAAGAUUUAAAGCAAUCCCGUGAGUGAUACAUUUGGGUGAAUUUGUUCUCUAGAAGGUAUCACAGAAAUCUGGUCACUGGGCCACCCGAGACAUCCUGAUAGGCCCUCUGGUAACCCAUCACAUGCUGCAGACUGACUCUGGGGGCCUAGAACCCAGAUCAGAAGCAACCUUGACCCCGGCCCACCCGCCACGGAAGCACCAUCAUCUCUCUGAUUAAAAACCUCGAUCACGGACCCGGGGGCGUGCCCGGAAGAGCUAAGAUAAUCAGCGUCAGCACUUUGCCUUCGCCGUCCAAGACUGCAGACGGCCUUCAUUUGACCUGAUUCGUGGUGUUAAUGACAGCAGAGCAAUUUUGAGAGGCAGCUUGCUCUCGGCAUCUAUAAGGAGAGGAAAAGCACUGAGGGCUGGGGACCAAGCUCCUUGCAGAGGCGGCAGCUGCAGUCACCCUCCCCCUCCACCCCUGCCCCUCCCCUCCCCUCCAGAGGCACUUUGAGUAAGUGCUGCCCUCCGAUCUGCCCUGAUACGAUGGGAGAAAGCUGAUGUGAGGGCUGGAGCCAGAGUGUGCAAGGGGACAGUGUGUGCAUGUGCGUGUGUCGGGGAGAGGUACCCGUGCUAUACCUGAGAACAUUGCUGGGUGAACACAGCCUUGGACCUGGAAGAGCGCAUAGCUUACUUAGAGGCAUGGGCUGCACAUGAGCUGCCCAUUUACCUGCUCAUUUAGAAGCUACUAUGAAGGCUGGUGAGAUGGCUCAGCGGGCAAGAGCACUGGCUGCUUUUCCGAAGGUUCUGAGUUCAAAUCCCAGCGACCACAUGGUGGCUCACAACCAUCUGUAAUGGGAUCUGAUGCCCUCUUCUGGGGAAGGAGAGCCAGAGGACAGGAGGAAGCUUGAAGCCGCUGGAAUGAGGAAAAGCUUUACACAGACAAGGGCUGUCUUGCUCAUUGUCGAUUCCCGGCACCGGAGGACAGUGCAGGUACCAAGAGAUCAUGUGCGGCAGGCGCUUGAUUCAUCUGAAAUGCCCACUCUUGCCCUUGGAAGCACCGAGUCCUUGGAAAGACCCCCAGAGUCCUCUUCAGUAUAUCAAAGAAGUGCCCAUCACGCGCAUCAUUAAACAUUUAUUCUGCAUGUGUCAGGAACGCAUCGAGGGAACUGUGUGUCAACAAUCUGGCUGACACCAUCAGGGUCUGAGGCCAGAGCCUCGCAGAAAGGAAGGAUAAGAUGUUUCCAUCUUAUUUACUGAGAAUCUGCCACGAACACAGCAUCGAGAAUCUCACAUCUGCCGCCCACUCAGUCCUCGACACUGCCGUCCCACUUAACAAAUCUCUGCUUCUGCACCGCCUGCUGCACCCAGUCAUCUCUAGGGUGGAGGGCUCAGGCGGCCAGAGCGUCAGGCUCAAUGCAGGGCAGUUCAGACACACAGCUCUAGAGUUUCCCACUGGCUGCACUUCCUCAGGUGAGGUACCUGGACCCAGUCCUCUCCAGCGGCUUCAUUCUCCCAAGCUCGCGGAGCUGGGAGCCCCGGACAGGAUGCAAGCCUUGGGUCUUGUAGGCUGAGACCCUGACCCCAUGCAGACCUCAUCCUGAUGCUCAGAGCAACGCCCAUCUUCCAGUCUCACCACAUCCCAGCAUAAACAUCACAGCCUGUCACUUCCCUUGAUUCUCCUCCCUGGCAAACUUCAUCCAGUGUCAGUGCCACAGAAAACUUAAAAGAUGGCUCUGCAGAUCUGGAAACUGAGGCCCAUGGGGGGGAAAGAAAUCCCUCUAGGGCUGUUUGCCAGUGAGUGGUAAUUAGCAACAAAAGCUAAUACAUGCUCAGAUUCAAA